UACAGAGGGGGCAAGCGUUGUUCGGAAUUACUGGGCGUAAAGGGCGCGUAGGCGGCCUUCUAAGUCGAACGUGAAAUCCCCGGGCUCAACCCGGGAACUGCGUCCGAUACUGGAAGGCUUGAAUCCGGGAGGGGGAUGCGGAAUUCCAGGUGUAGCGGUGAAAUGCGUAGAUAUCUGGAGGAACACCGGUGGCGAAGGCGGCAUCCUGGACCGGCAUUGACGCUGAGGCGCGAAAGCCAGGGGAGCAAACGGG
This 253-nucleotide ribosomal RNA is filed under the name uncultured bacterium. RNAcentral's name for it is "partial 16S ribosomal RNA". It matches the Rfam family "Bacterial small subunit ribosomal RNA", at positions 524 to 776 of the family's 1533-position model. The record is from RNAcentral.